UGAGGAAUUUUCCACAAUGGGCGAAAGCCUGAUGGAGCGACGCCGCGUGAAGGAUGAAGCUUUUCGGAGUGUAAACUUCUUUUAUGUGGGAAGAUUAUGACGGUACCACAUGAAUAAGGACCGGCUAACUACGUGCCAGCAGCCGCGGUAAUACGUAGGGUCCGAGCGUUAUCCGGAAUUACUGGGCGUAAAGAGUUCGUAGGCGGAUUUUUAAGUCGGGUGUUAAAUAUGCAGGCUCAACUUGCAUGCCGCACCCGAUACUGGGAGUCUUGAGAGUGGAAGAGGUAAGCGGAAUUUCCGGUGGAGCGGUAAAAUGCGUAGAUAUCGGAAAGAACACCAAUGGCGAAGGCAGCUUACUGGGCCAUUUCUGACGCUGAGGAACGAAAGCGUGGGGAGCGAUCG
RNAcentral lists this ribosomal RNA (402 nucleotides) under uncultured bacterium. Its description in RNAcentral is "partial 16S ribosomal RNA". It matches the Rfam family "Bacterial small subunit ribosomal RNA", at positions 355 to 774 of the family's 1533-position model. The record is from RNAcentral.